Molecule: ribosomal RNA, 115 nt
Filed under: Rhodocyclus tenuis
Lineage: Bacteria; Pseudomonadati; Pseudomonadota; Betaproteobacteria; Rhodocyclales; Rhodocyclaceae
Source: RNAcentral
CUUGGCGGCCAUAGCUCUUCGGACCCACCCCUUCCCAUCCCGAACAGGACCGUGAAACGAAGAUACGCCGAUGAUAGUGCACUUAAACGUGUGCGAAAGUAGGUCACCGCCAGGC